GGACAGAAAGACCCUAUGAAGCUUUACUGUAACUUGAAAUUGGUUUCGGGCUUUAUUUGCGCAGUAUAGGUGGGAGGCUAAGAUAACAAGUUUGCGGAUUUGUUGGAGCCAUUAGUGAGAUACCACUCUAAUAAAGCUAGAAUUCUAACCUUGUUAGCCGUUAUCCGGCCAAGGAACAGUUUCAGGCGGGCAGUUUGACUGGGGCGGUCGCCUCCUAAAAAGUAACGGAGGCGUGCAAAGGUUCCUUCAGGCUGGUUGGAAAUCAGUCGUAGAGUGUAAAGACAUAAGGGAGCUUGACUGUAAGACCUACAAGUCGAACAGAGACGAAAGUCGGCCUUAGUGAUCCGACAGUUCCGAGUGGAAGGGCUGUCGCUCAACGGAUAAAAGUUACUCUAGGGAUAACAGGCUGA
Molecule: ribosomal RNA, 410 nt
Filed under: Kumanoa spermatiophora
Lineage: Eukaryota; Rhodophyta; Florideophyceae; Batrachospermales; Batrachospermaceae
Description: bacterial LSU rRNA
Rfam family: Bacterial large subunit ribosomal RNA
Source: RNAcentral